Molecule: ribosomal RNA, 418 nt
Filed under: uncultured bacterium
Lineage: Bacteria
Description: bacterial SSU rRNA
Rfam family: Bacterial small subunit ribosomal RNA
Source: RNAcentral
UCGAGAAUCUUCGGCAAUGGGCGAAAGCCUGACCGAGCGACGCCGCGUGCGGGAUGAAGGCCCUCGGGUUGUAAACCGCUGUCAGUGGGGAGGAAGGCUCUGUGAAGAGCAGGGUUUGACCUAUCCGCAGAGGAAGUCCGGGCUAAGUUCGUUCCAGCAGCCGCGGUAACACGAACCGGACAAACGUUAUUCGUAAUCACUGGGCUUAAAGUGUGCGUAGGCGGUCUGACAAGUUGAGUGUGAAAUCCCUCGGCUCAACCGAGGAAUAGCGCUCAAAACUGUUGGACUUGAGGGAGUUAGAGGUAAGCGGAACUUAGGGUGGAGCGGUGAAAUGCGUUGAUAUCCUAAGGAACACCAGUGGCGAAAGCGGCUUACUGGAGCUUUUCUGACGCUGAGGCACGAAAGACAGGGGAGCGAA